RNA transcript from Bacillus rossius redtenbacheri, 905 nucleotides. It is a transcript of the gene named transmembrane protein 258, with no coding region annotated. NCBI's taxonomy places the organism in Eukaryota, Metazoa, Arthropoda, Insecta, Phasmatodea, Bacillidae. The transcript has 3 exons. The record is from RefSeq and is a predicted model, not a curated record.
AACGAAAUAAAAAUUUAACGUGUUUGUUGUCAAUUUGUUUGAGUGGCCACGUAUUACGAUUUACGAAGCGAGGAAAAUAGAAUUGGUGGUGAAUUUGGUGAUAAAGUGGGAACAAUUUGAAUUAAAAUGCUGGAGCCGGAGUCGAUGGCGCGCUACGUGUCGCCGGUCAACCCGUCCGUGUUCCCGCACCUCACCGUCGUGCUGCUGGGCAUCGGCGUCUUCUUCACCGCCUGGUUCUUCGUCUACGAGGUCACCAGCACCAAGUUCACCCGCGACGUCUUCAAGGAGCUGGUGGUGGCGCUGGUCGCCGCCAUCUUCUCGGGCUUCGGGGUGGUGUUCCUGCUGCUCUGGGUCGGCAUCUACAUAUGACAGGUAGUGUCCCCCCGUGGUCGGAGGGCUCCGUCCUGGCCCGGGAGUUCGGGACUGAGCGCAGGCGAUCCCGGGAUUCAGGAUGGCAAAUAAAAACACACAAAAAGAGUUUGUAGGUGUGCUAAGUCUUCAGAAAUGGUGCAAAAGUUUCUUCGAUUAUUAAAACCUAUUACCGAAAAUUAUACGAUACAGACAUUCCAAAAAUGAUUUGUUUUCAUGGCAGUGAUGAAUAUUUGUAAUUUUCAAUUUAUUUUUACUGUUGCGUCAAGAAAUUGUGGUACUUGUGCAUUGUGUGUGAAGACAGUGAACAGUGAAGUACAUCAGAGUGCAUUUCUUUCUAGGGUGCUGUGAUUGUUUUUUUGUUUGCCAAUAUCUCGGAAGAUACAUUACAUGUUGUGUGUUGGUUUGGUUCAUUUCAAACAUGAUUAUGUUUUACGUGCAUUAGUAGUUUGCUGUGUGAUUGUUGGGUGAAGUAAGUUACAUAUAAAAAUUAAUUGAUUUGUUUGAUAAUCAAGUAUAAAGUAGGUACUUUCAAA